GAGUUGAAAAGAUCUGACCAAAUGGGAUGCAGUGAAUAGACAAGAAUGUCAUACAGAAACCCAUUUUCCUUUGGACUUUAUUCAAACAAUGAUCAAUAAGCAAUGAGCAAUAUCCAGACAUCAUAAAGAUCAGGGUAUCAAAUAAAGAUGGCCACAUCCAAGAAAGCAUUCCAAUAGCUAACAGUCUUCAUUGUCUUCCAAUGUACCAGAUGAUAUAUU
This 219-nucleotide long non-coding RNA is filed under the name Lathyrus oleraceus (garden pea). RNAcentral's name for it is "Pisum sativum (pea) long non-coding RNA (PSAT_LNC014302)". Lineage: Eukaryota; Viridiplantae; Streptophyta; Magnoliopsida; Fabales; Fabaceae. The record is from RNAcentral.